CUUGUGGCUGGGGGUGAAAGGCCAAUCAAACCGGGAGAUAGCUGGUUCUCCCCGAAAGCUAUUUAGGUAGCGCCUCGUGAAUUCAUCUCCGGGGGUAGAGCACUGUUUCGGCAAGGGGGUCAUCCCGACUUACCAACCCGAUGCAAACUGCGAAUACCGGAGAAUGUUAUCACGGGAGACACACGGCGGGUGCUAACGUCCGUCGUGAAGAGGGAAACAACCCAGACCGCCAGCUAAGGUCCCAAAGUCAUGGUUAAGUGGGAAACGAUGUGGGAAGGCCCAGACAGCCAGGAUGUUGGCUUAGAAGCAGCCAUCAUUUAAAGAAAGCGUAAUAGCUCACUGGUCGAGUCGGCCUGCGCGGAAGAUGUAACGGGGCUAAACCAUGCACCGAAGCUGCGGCAGCGACGCUGAUGCGUUGUUGGGUAGGGGAGCGUUCUGUAAGCCUGCGAAGGUGUGCUGUGAGGCAUGCUGGAGGUAUCAGAAGUGCGAAUGCUGACAUAAGUAACGAUAAAGCGGGUGAAAAGCCCGCUCGCCGGAAGACCAAGGGUUCCUGUCCAACGUUAAUCGGGGCAGGGUGAGUCGACCCCUAAGGCGAGGCCGAAAGGCGUAGUCGAUGGGAAACAGGUUAAUAUUCCUGUACUUGGUGUUACUGCGAAGGGGGGACGGAGAAGGCUAUGUUGGCCGGGCGACGGUUGUCCCGGUUUAAGCGUGUAGGCUGGUUUUCCAGGCAAAUCCGGAAAAUCAAGGCUGAGGCGUGAUGACGAGGCACUACGGUGCUGAAGCAACAAAUGCCCUGCUUCCAGGAAAAGCCUCUAAGCAUCAGGUAACAUCAAAUCGUACCCCAAACCGACACAGGUGGUCAGGUAGAGAAUACCAAGGCGCUUGAGAGAACUCGGGUGAAGGAACUAGGCAAAAUGGUGCCGUAACUUCGGGAGAAGGCACGCUGAUAUGUAGGUGAGGUCCCUCGCGGAUGGAGCUGAAAUCAGUCGAAGAUACCAGCUGGCUGCAACUGUUUAUUAAAAACACAGCACUGUGCAAACACGAAAGUGGACGUAUACGGUGUGACGCCUGCCCGGUGCCGGAAGGUUAAUUGAUGGGGUUAUCCGUAAGGAGAAGCUCUUGAUCGAAGCCCCGGUAAACGGCGGCCGUAACUAUAACGGUCCUAAGGUAGCGAAAUUCCUUGUCGGGUAAGUUCCGACCUGCACGAAUGGCGUAAUGAUGGCCAGGCUGUCUCCACCCGAGACUCAGUGAAAUUGAACUCGCUGUGAAGAUGCAGUGUACCCGCGGCAAGACGGAAAGACCCCGUGAACCUUUACUAUAGCUUGACACUGAACAUUGAGCCUUGAUGUGUAGGAUAGGUGGGAGGCUUUGAAGUGUGGACGCCAGUCUGCAUGGAGCCGACCUUGAAAUACCACCCUUUAAUGUUUGAUGUUCUAACGUUGACCCGUAAUCCGGGUUGCGGACAGUGUCUGGUGGGUAGUUUGACUGGGGCGGUCUCCUCCUAAAGAGUAACGGAGGAGCACGAAGGUUGGCUAAUCCUGGUCGGACAUCAGGAGGUUAGUGCAAUGGCAUAAGCCAGCUUGACUGCGAGCGUGACGGCGCGAGCAGGUGCGAAAGCAGGUCAUAGUGAUCCGGUGGUUCUGAAUGGAAGGGCCAUCGCUCAACGGAUAAAAGGUACUCCGGGGAUAACAGGCUGAUACCGCCCAAGAGUUCAUAUCGACGGCGGUGUUUGGCACCUCGAUGUCGGCUCAUCACAUCCUGGGGCUGAAGUAGGUCCCAAGGGUAUGGCUGUUCGCCAUUUAAAGUGGUACGCGAGCUGGGUUUAGAACGUCGUGAGACAGUUCGGUCCCUAUCUGCCGUGGGCGCUGGAGAACUGAGGGGGGCUGCUCCUAGUACGAGAGGACCGGAGUGGACGCAUCACUGGUGUUCGGGUUGUCAUGCCAAUGGCACUGCCCGGUAGCUAAAUGCGGAAGAGAUAAGUGCUGAAAGCAUCUAAGCACGAAACUUGCCCCGAGAUGAGUUCUCCCUGACCCUUUAAGGGUCCUGAAGGAACGUUGAAGACGACGACGUUGAUAGGCCGGGUGUGUAAGCGCAGCGAUGCGUUGAGCUAACCGGUACUAAUG
This 2123-nucleotide ribosomal RNA is filed under the name Listeria monocytogenes. RNAcentral's name for it is "partial 23S ribosomal RNA". It matches the Rfam family "Bacterial large subunit ribosomal RNA", at positions 808 to 2906 of the family's 2925-position model. Lineage: Bacteria; Bacillati; Bacillota; Bacilli; Caryophanales; Listeriaceae. The record is from RNAcentral.